Long non-coding RNA from Astatotilapia calliptera (eastern happy), 1392 nucleotides. NCBI's taxonomy places the organism in Eukaryota, Metazoa, Chordata, Actinopteri, Cichliformes, Cichlidae. The record is from Ensembl.
GUUUCAAGAUGUCUUUAAAUGUCUAAAUCAUCCGAAAAACAGUUUUCUUUCUUUCUAGCUGUUUCAAGCAGAGAUUUAAUGCACGAAUACACUUUUUUUUCUGACUCAGAAAUUAUAUUUCCUUUGAGAGUACUGUUUACUGUGAUCAUGGUCAAAAUUUGAAUGAAACAGGUAAAUUAUCUGAGUAUGGAGAAAGCGCUGUUCAAAAUGGAGACAGAAAGACUCAGGGUAAAAUACUUUAUAGUCAUUUGGAGUCCCUGGAAACUUCUGUUGAAGCAAACAAGAGAACAAGGGAGACUGCUAACUAUAUCCCAAGUUACCAUUAAACAUGGCUGCAAGGUUGAAUCCAUUAAGGUUGGAGAUUUUUUUCUUACUGGAAAUUGUAAAUACCAGCUAACUAAAGUUAUCCAGUAUGUUAAGGCUUUUUGUUGAGUUUUAGGAUAGAUUGUUAAUACACAGACACAAAAUCUUAGUUCACUGGUUUUGUAUCUCUUCUCCUUCUCUCUUGUCAUAGUUCUUAAAGGUUAUAAAGGGCAAGGGUUAAACUUUUUAUUUAAUUUUGUGGAAUUUUUUUUUCUUUUUUUUUAAACAAUGACUGCAAUAAAGGUGCAGAAGUGAUUAAUUUUUUCAGUAUUUUUAAUGAUCCUGGGUUUUGUACCCAGUGUUUUCUGAUAUGGACCCAGUUUCCUGUUUGAUCUUCUGAUCUUGCUUUUACCCUAUCCUCCUUUGUUCCCCAUGCCUAGUCUGUGUUCAGUGAUAUCUCCUGUGUUUAGUCAGUUUUCUGUUUGUGUUUACUUUGGCCUGUCAAGCUCACGUGUCUUAGUCUCUGUCUCAGUGUUAGUUUCCUGUCUUAUUUUGAUAGUCUCUUGUCCUGUAUACGUUGUGUUCAGUUUUGCUUCCCUCUUGCUUGUUAAUUGAUUUUGUUCACCUGCACCUUGGGUUCCCCAGCUGUGUCUCUUUCCCUGAUUACCUUAUGUGUAUUUAAGCCCUCAGGUUUCCUUAGCUCUUUGUCGUGUUGUACUGUUUGUUUGCUUUGGUGUUUUGCUGCAGUACUUCCUGGAUUCAAUUAGCCUUGAUUUUCAUUUUUGCUGUGGGUUUGCAGUUGCAACCUAAAUACAGUUCAGCCUUUGGUUCUUCAAGUUAGCCUCCGAGUCUGCAUCUUUGGGUCUGUUUCGUGCCUCACCAUGACAGUACUGAUGCCAUAUGAUUCCACUUUUACUUUCAUUUGAAGGUGGAAUUAUAGAGUUUGGUCGAGCAUUAUUGAUCUGGCAAAGAUCAGUUGUUUUGUGUCAAGUUCAUUCAUCUUCUCACAGAGCUACAGUCAUCUGUCCAAGGUAAUUGGUGUAACAUAUGUGGGUUUUGUUAUAAGUGUUGAAUCGAGGCUCUUUGUUG